UCGAGCGGCAGCGCGGUCUUCGGACUGGCGGCGAGCGGCGGACGGCUGAGUAACGCGUGGGAACGUACCCCAAAGUGAGGAAUAACCGCCCGAAAGGGUGGCUAAUGCCGCAUAUGAUCUUCGGAUUAAAGGAUUUAUCCGCUUUGGGAACGGCCUGCGUAUGAUUAGAUAGUUGGUGAGGUAAAGGCUCACCAAGUCUACGAUCAUUAACUGGUCUGAGAGGAUGAUCAGUCAGACUGGAACUGAGAUACGGUCCAGACUCCUACGGGAGGCAGCAGUGAGGAAUCUUCCACAAUGGGCGAAAGCCUGAUGGAGCAACGCCGCGUGCAGGAUGAAGGCCCUAGGGUCGUAAACUGCUUUUAUAAGUGAAGAAUAUGACGGUAACUUAUGAAUAAGCACCGGCUAACUACGUGCCAGCAGCCGCGGUCAUACGUAGGGUGCAAGCAUUAUCCGGAGUGACUGGGCGUAAAGAGUUGCGUAGGUGGUUUGUUAAGUGAAUAGUGAAAUCUGGUGGCUCAACCACACAGACUAUUAUUCAAACUGGCAAACUCGAGAGUAGCAGAGGUAACUGGAAUUUCUAGUGUAGGAGUGAAAUCCGUAGAUAUUAGAAGGAACACCAAUGGCGUAGGCAGGUUACUAGGCUAUUUCUGACACUGAGGCACGAAAGCGUGGGGAGCGAACCGGAUUAGAUACCCGGGUAGUCCACGCCGUAAACGAUGGAUACUAGCUGUUGGAGGUAUCGACCCCUUCAGUAGCGAAGCUAACGCGUUAAGUAUCCCGCCUGUGGAGUACGGUCGCAAGACUAAAACAUAAAGGAAUUGACGGGGACCCGCACAAGCGGUGGAGCGUGUUCUUUAAU
RNAcentral lists this ribosomal RNA (859 nucleotides) under uncultured bacterium. Its description in RNAcentral is "bacterial SSU rRNA". It matches the Rfam family "Bacterial small subunit ribosomal RNA", at positions 62 to 950 of the family's 1533-position model. The record is from RNAcentral.